GCCAGCCCGCUCAGAACUUAAGGAAUUGACGGGGCCGCACAAGCGGAGGAGCAUGUGGUUUAAUUCGAUGAUACGCGAGGAACCUUACCUGGGCUCGAACGUAAGAUGACUGUAGGUGAAAGCUUACAUCUCUUCGGAGCAUUUUACGAGGUGCUGCAUGGUUGUCGUCAGCUCGUGCCGUGAGGUGUCGGGUUAAGUCCCAUAACGAGCGCAACCCCUACCUUUAGUUGCCAUCAGGUUAAGCUGGGGACUCUAAAGGAACUGCCUACGCAAGUAGUGAGGAAGGCGGGGAUGACGUCAAAUCAGCACGGCCCUUACGUCCAGGGCUACACACGUGCUACAAUGGCCGAUACAGAGGGCAGCUACCUGGUGACAGGAUGCAAAUCUCCAAAGUCGGUCUCAGUUCGGAUCGGAGUCUGCAACCCGACUCCGUGAAGUUGGAUUCGCUAGUAAUCGCGCAUCAGCCAUGGCGCGGUGAAUACGUUCCCGGGCCUU
RNAcentral lists this ribosomal RNA (495 nucleotides) under uncultured Sphingobacteriales bacterium. RNAcentral's name for it is "bacterial SSU rRNA". It matches the Rfam family "Bacterial small subunit ribosomal RNA", at positions 904 to 1382 of the family's 1533-position model. Lineage: Bacteria; Pseudomonadati; Bacteroidota; Sphingobacteriia; Sphingobacteriales. The record is from RNAcentral.